This 505-nucleotide ribosomal RNA is filed under the name uncultured Desulfobulbus sp. Its description in RNAcentral is "bacterial SSU rRNA". It matches the Rfam family "Bacterial small subunit ribosomal RNA", at positions 903 to 1382 of the family's 1533-position model. Lineage: Bacteria; Pseudomonadati; Thermodesulfobacteriota; Desulfobulbia; Desulfobulbales; Desulfobulbaceae. The record is from RNAcentral.
GCCAGCCCGCUCAGAACUUAAAUAGAAUUGACGGGGCCCGGCACAAGCGGUGGAGUAUGUGGUUUAAUUCGAUGCAACGCGAAGAACCUUACCUGGUCUUGACAUCCCGGAGACCCUUAGGAAACUAGGGGGUGCUUCCAUCUGGAAGAAUCUGGAGACAGGUGCUGCAUGGCUGUCGUCAGCUCGUGUCGUGAGAUGUUGGGUUAAGUCCCGUAACGAGCGCAACCCUUGCCUUUAGUUGCCAGCAGUUCGGCUGGGCACUCUAAAGGGACUGCCGGUGUUAAACCGGAGGAAGGUGGGGAUGACGUCAAGUCCUCAUGGCCUUUAUGACCAGGGCUACACACGUACUACAAUGGCCGAUACAAAGGGCAGCGACACUGCGAGGUGAAGCCAAUCCCGUAAAAUCGGUCUCAGUCCGGAUUGGAGUCUGCAACUCGACUCCAUGAAGUUGGAAUCGCUAGUAAUCGUGGAUCAGCAUGCCACGGUGAAUACGUUCCCGGGCCUU